AAGGGGUGGGGUUUAGGUUUAAGGUUUAUGGUUUAGGGUUUAAGGUUUAGAAUUUUGGGUUUAGAGUUUAGAGUUGAGGAGUUGGAUUUUGGGGAUAGGAUUUCAAAUUUUAAAAAAUAAAAACAUAAAAAAAAAUUAAAAUUUUCAAAAUGCAAAAUGCUAUUUUUGUCAUUUUAGUUUUUGAGAUCUUUUCUGUGAUAAAAACUUAAAAUAUAAAUUU
Molecule: long non-coding RNA, 220 nt
Filed under: Brassica napus (rape)
Lineage: Eukaryota; Viridiplantae; Streptophyta; Magnoliopsida; Brassicales; Brassicaceae
Description: long non-coding RNA (BNAP_LNC019565)
Source: RNAcentral